RNAcentral lists this long non-coding RNA (265 nucleotides) under Lathyrus oleraceus (garden pea). RNAcentral's name for it is "Pisum sativum (pea) long non-coding RNA (PSAT_LNC030011)". The record is from RNAcentral. Lineage: Eukaryota; Viridiplantae; Streptophyta; Magnoliopsida; Fabales; Fabaceae.
UUCAACCUUCAAAUAUGUUGAUGAAUGAUCAAUGGAUAAUUCUUGACACUUUGAGGUGUUGAGAGGUUGCCCUUAGUUGAUCAUGUUUGAAUCCCCUGAUGUUUAGAUGAGACCUUCAGUUACUUGAGCAAUUGCCUUUUUAUUUUUCCUUUGUGUUGCAUUAUUUCAAGAGGCUAACUUUGUGUUAUACCUCCAACAUUCCUAGCACAUAUAUUAUUAUUGAGCAGCCUCAGAUAGGUGUGACUUCUACAUAAGUCCACUUACA